UAAGUUUAAUUUAACUGGGUUGAGUCACAUAUAUUUUUUUAGAUGUGACGACUUGAAGAAUUUUGAAGAAUUCUUAGGUUGAACUAACGUUUCACUUUCCUAGUGUAUAUUGUGCAAAACAUACUCAUUGGAAAUUAAGUCAGAUAUUUGCUGAAUGUGUGACAUUUUGUGUUGUGUUUAUUAAUUUUUUUCACCAUACCUUCUCUUGUAAAACCGAUGCCAGUCUCUCAAAAUAAUUUCUCAAUGUCGCUGUUCUGGCAGAGACGCCAGAGGGGUCAGAAUCGUCACUCCCUGACGUGCUUCCUCCCGCCUGAAAUUGGCAUCCAAGACCCACCGAACAAAAUCAGUUUUUUAAAUUCUAUGUUUCACCAUCAAUCAUGAAAUACAACCAUGGAUCUAACCUAGAUAUUUUAUUUAGCAUGGAAAAUGGGCAAUUCAGUCGCAAUGUAUUUAAUGAUCAAACAUUUUUCAGCCUGCAGCAGACAAUGUAGCCCAAUACGCACCGAAUAUGCAUAUUACAUUUCAGGGCUUAAACUACUUACACAUUUGCUUUUCUCAGCCUGGCGGUAGAUGAUAUUUUGAAAAUCCUGCAACUUGAUUUCAUCCCACUCCGUCGGGAAAUCGUCGUUUUCAAACAGAGAGUUGAUGCUGUACAGAGUUUCAUAAAUGACAGUCCGAAUGAUGUUGCUCUGCUGUGAGAGAAUAAAAAAACGGAUCAUCAUGAUCGAAGAACAAGGUGUUCAUUGUUUUAAAUACGGCGUUCCCUCGGACUCAGGUGAAGGCUGCAGUUUUGAGAGCGCGCUCUUACCCCAGCGGUUCCAUUCGACGCAAAAGCGGACCUUGGAAAAGGUACGCGGACAUUCUCCUUGAUGCACUGUUGCGGGAAAUUUCCCCCCUAAUAUAGAACAUGGGGAAAUAAUGACCAAUAAGUAUUUCUUUCUUUGCGUGUUUAGGAGAGGACAUGAAAAAUGCAUGUUUAAAAAUGUACCAUGUCUUUCAGAAGAUUGUAACUCGUCUUUAUAAGGUGUCCAUCCAGCUGGCAUUUUAUGGGCGCACUUAAAACCUGUGAAAUGCAGAACAGGGCGCACAACCAGGCGGUGCUCUCAAGUGCCAUGUUCAUAGUUUGUUGAGUGACCUGUACCAAAAGAAUAAUGGAACACUGAAAUAUUGUCCCAUGAUAAAAGAGUAAUGAAUAAGAACAAUAUCAAACGCUUAAAAAUGGAUUACCUUUUUGUAGUAGGUUGUACUUGAUUUUCCAGCAGUGUGGUUUGACUCCCGAAUUCAUAUCUUUCAGCGGCUUUUAUACUAUAAAGAUCCUUGUGUAAAAAAAGUGAAAGUAUAAACCCAAAAAUGCAAUUAAAGUGAACUUAGUUUGGAAAGAAUAACCCACAGGGAUUCCGUUUUCGGGUUCAGUUCCCCUUCUAAGCGUUAUAAUAGAUGCAAGGCGCAUCUGAGGCAGUUUACAGUUUUUUUGUCAAUUUCGAAAAGCAGGUGCUGCAUUUGCGUUCAUUUUUUAAUUAAAUGACGACACUCUUUACGUAACCAGACAGUCACUAACAUGGAACUCGCAGCGUAAGAGGAACAGUGGAUGGCCCAUGAACCGUUGGGAGAUCUCAGUCUCAUCAGGGUACAAGGAUAGCACUAGAAUGAACUGGGGAAAGUAGCUUAGAACAGAGUGAGAUGGGGACGCAUCAUAUAUGUCCUGUUCUUUUGGGUCUGAAUCUAGUCAGAUUUAAAUGGGAAUUAAAUCCAGAAACUGAUAUGGCGCGCCCUUGACUUGAGCCCUCAAAUUUAAGCCCUCGUUGAGGGAGAGCUCUCCUUUUAAGCAUGCCAUAAUAUCACCAGCCAAUCAUUCUAGGGCUCGAGGAGUGGUAGGUUAAACCAGACAGUAUGAUAAAUGAACGCGACACUUAGGAACUCACUUUUGAAGUCAUCGUCAUUUGGACACCUCUGAAUGACUUAACUACCAAAGGCUGUGCGUCUCAUGAGGCGUCCGACAGCUGGUGUUUCCGGGAUGGUAGUCUUGGUACGAUUUAACAGAACUAUCCUUUGUUCAGUAUUGUACCGAUUUGGUAGCCCGAUAAAGAUGCAAUGCGUAUUUGGCCAGCAACGUAUGUACACCGUAGGCUACCAGAAUAUAGCCUACAUUAAAAUCAUCUAUUUUAAUGUCUUUAAUGCCUUUUCUCGGUACCGCCGUUGCAUUGAGUCGGAAUAAACAGCAAAAAUGGCACUUACAAUUCUAUUGCACGAACUGUAGGUUCGCCUGUUAGCAUGCUUGUACAAAUGGUCAAAUGUCUAAUGUCAUGAUCAAAUAAAUAGAUCUGAAGUUUCAAGAUGGUCCAUGUACCCAAGAUGUAUGUGCUGACUUGUGUCCGCUAAUCUCUGUCAAAAAUAGUUGUUGACAAAAUGUACAAGUUUAUCCAUAUUUUUUCUCAAAUGUUAAUGAUCAAUAAAGGUGUUGGACACAAUUAUGGAAACACUUAACAAUAUAUGAAUAUGAAGUAGCUAAUAAGGUAUAUGUCCACGCAUCAUCUUCAGAAUUUUUUCUUUAGUAGUGCGUGUGAGGGCGUUAUCAUCUUGGAAUAUGGGGACGUCAUGAGGGAACUGCGAUUGUACUGUAGGGUGCCCCUGGUCUUGUAAAAUUGCUUUAAUAUUCCUUUGGCUAUUACAGGUGUGUGCAGAGCAAUCAUCACACCCAAUGGCUCCCGUGAGAGCUACCCAUACCAUUGCAGAUCCUCCACCAUUUUAACAGUUGGCAACAGACAUUGCGGGUUGAUGGAGCCCCUUUCCCUUUGCCUUUCUCCAAACAUAAACCCAUGCAGGUGCAGGAAAACAGUGAAGGGUGGCUCAUCUGAAAUAGGCUGUUCCUUUUUUUCACAGGGGUCCAGGUUUUGUUCUCCUUAUGGCGGAUUAUUCAUCCUUGGGCAGUAACCUUCCAUUCAUGUGGUUUCUGAAAGGGGGCCCCGCCAAAAAUGCUAGCUUUACGAAGCUUAUGAUAUACAGUUUUGUCGAGAUUGGGUCGCAGAGGUGUUUCAGCUCUGUGGUAGUUUUUGAAACCGUAUUAUCUAGUGUCUGUCUGUCCCUCUCGCUGAGCUUUGAUUUGCGACUACUGUUUCUCAUUGCCAAUGCCGUUCGUUUGUGAGCGGUGGUGGUUUCAACUUCCCAACCCUGUUCCUGGAGAUCUACCAUCCUGGGCUGCGUUUCUGAGUUUCGAUGUACCUUAACAUUCUACGAAGGUUUCUAAGGUAUACCUUUCAAUGGCAAACCACUUUUUUACGAGUGUUUCCCAGACCAUACCUUAACGGCUGCCUUAAGGGACACUUCCAAAGGUACGUCGUAAGUUGGCGCUGGCCUUCACUGUGGUGCUGAAAAAUGUAUCAAUUGAUGCCAAGCGAAUCGAUUGUCAUAUCAUGCUUUCAUUUUCAUCACUGUUCCCCAUGCCCCUUUAAAUCUUCUUGCAGUUUAACUUUUUUGUUGUUGUUGUUUUUUUACUUAAAAGGGAGGGUUAAGCACAGUCUGCUUUUUCAUUCAGAAUGCGGCCACCUUUAUUACCCUUUAUGCAGUCUAUAUUCCCCUCCAUGUCUGGAUUGUAGAAUUUAUAAACUGGAAUCCAAAAGGGAAAUCGAAACUGAAACUGGAAAUAUCAAACACAUUAAGUUAUGUGGGGCUUACUUGACUUAAAUUUUUGAUGACAAAACUCUGGAUUCGUAAGGUACAUGUUCUGGAAAUGCCCGUGACGUGUUGUAAUGUGUUGCCGUGUUUUAAUGUCUUUUGUAAAAAUCACGUUUUUUUAAUUGGAUUUUUAUUAUUAUUAUUAUUAUUAUUAUUAUUAUUAUUAUUAUUAUUAAUUGUAUGUUAUUGUUUUGCGUUACUGCUUCCUUAGGAUGUUGGAUUCAAGGAAACGUACUAAGUUUACUCCCUCUUCGCUGUCCAUCACUAUAGGUAGUGAGGGACAGCGUUAAUUUUGAGCCCUUGUGGUUAUCUUUCUUCCGUAAUGUAGCUUGUUAGUUGUGGAGAGGUGGACGUUCGAGUUCGCCAUGGUACAGACGUGUUAAUUUGAGCUGUUGGUCUCGUGCAAUAAGGGGAAUCAUCUCGAACGAGGGUGUUCAUUUCUUUUGUCAUUGUUAAUUGUAACUAUGUAAGCCUAAAUGCACGUACGAUACAAGCACGUAUUUCUAACAUCGAUCUUGAAAAAUCGACUUUUAAAAGAGCCUAUGAAUCGGUCUUAAACUUGAAUGUACCGACUUGGAACUUAAUCAGACGAUUUUAAAUAUCUCUCGAAAAGUCUCUCGAAAUGUAUUAAUUUGCAAUUAUGUGAUAAUGAUAAUUUUAUUGAUACUCUAACGGUAUUACAACGGGUAGUCCACACGAGUUCACUACUGUUUACCCCAAUAUUCUCUGAAUUUGAAAUGAAAUGGCCAUCGUAUUCUACAGCUUCGCGAGUGCACGCUUAUC
Anguilla rostrata (American eel) is the source of this 4455-nucleotide long non-coding RNA. RefSeq lists it as uncharacterized. The transcript has 2 exons. The record is from RefSeq and is a predicted model, not a curated record. Lineage: Eukaryota; Metazoa; Chordata; Actinopteri; Anguilliformes; Anguillidae.